ACGAACGCUGGCGGCGUGCUUAACACAUGCAAGUCGAACGGAAAGGCCCUGCUUUUGUGGGGUGCUCGAGUGGCGAACGGGUGAGUAACACGUGAGUAACCUGCCCUUGACUUUGGGAUAACUUCAGGAAACUGGGGCUAAUACCGGAUAGGAGCUCCUGCUGCAUGGUGGGGGUUGGAAAGUUUCGGCGGUUGGGGAUGGACUCGCGGCUUAUCAGCUUGUUGGUGGGGUAGUGGCUUACCACGGCUUUGACGGGUAGCCGGCCUGAGAGGGUGACCGGCCACAUUGGGACUGAGAUACGGCCCAGACUCCUACGGGAGGCAGCAGUGGGGAAUAUUGCACAAUGGGCGGAAGCCUGAUGCAGCAACGCCGCGUGCGGGAUGACGGCCUUCGGGUUGUAAACCGCUUUCGCCUGUGACGAAGCGUGAGUGACGGUAAUGGGUAAAGAAGCACCGGCUAACUACGUG
RNAcentral lists this ribosomal RNA (467 nucleotides) under uncultured bacterium. Its description in RNAcentral is "partial 16S ribosomal RNA". It matches the Rfam family "Bacterial small subunit ribosomal RNA", at positions 29 to 507 of the family's 1533-position model. The record is from RNAcentral.